AAAAAAGUGUUUUCAAGUGUAAUAUUUCUGUAAAGGGACAGAAAAGUGGACUUUUCUGUAGAAUGACCCAUUCAUUGUAAAAUGAAGUAAAUAUUAAAAAUGAACAACUUUCAUGUUAGCCUAUGGGAAAAAAUAAUGGAGUAACUUCAACCUACUAACUAAUUAAAGAUGUCAUCAGAUCAUGUGUGCUUUCAGCAGUUAUCAUUUUAAACAUCAAAAUCAUGAUGCCCCCCCAUGUAGGCUACUGAAUAUAAGAUAGGGUGAAUUCAGACUGAAUGGGACAUUUUAUCCAAGUCAUCUCAAUGGUAAAAAGUGUCCCAAACACCCUGAACUCACCCUAUACAAUUAUUAUGUAUUCACAUGCAUGAAGAAAAUGUAAUCCCAUGGAGCUCUAAAAUAAUGUUAUUGACUUCAACUGAUGAAUGCAGCCAAAGAAAAGAUGAAGAAUGGAAAAGCAUUUUGCUGGCAAAGAAACUGGAAAAUAACUCAGGUAAGACAAUUCCUAUACCCAUAAAUACCUGUCAAACAUGGUUUUAUUAAAGAAGAGUUACUAAAAAAAAAAUUACUUUACUUUAAGAAAGGUAUAGCAUGUGGCAAAAAGUGUAAUAUAGCCACACUGAGAUACAAGCAAGUGACGAUCGAGUGACGUCAUUCUUUAGGUUACGCGCAUGUAUCCAUGGCAACGCUCAGCUGCGUCGAGAGUUAACGGUCCUGCUGGUGAUUUUCUCAGAUGAGGCCUUGAGUUUUCUCUUUCGUCGGUCGAAAAGGUUAGAAGCCAUCGAAAAAACUGCCAUCGGACUACCACAGCUGUCAACGAGAGACGCGCGUGCACAGCUGCAUAACACACACACACACACACACACACACACACACGGAAAGAGCACAACAAUUAUGAAACUGAUAAUUUAUUAUAAAUAAAUAAAUGUAUUUUUCUCCUUA
Long non-coding RNA from Megalobrama amblycephala (Wuchang bream), 939 nucleotides. RefSeq lists it as uncharacterized. Lineage: Eukaryota; Metazoa; Chordata; Actinopteri; Cypriniformes; Xenocyprididae. The transcript is spliced from 2 exons. The record is from RefSeq and is a predicted model, not a curated record.